AGCAGCGCCGCGGUAAUACAGAGGGUGCGAGCGUUAAUCGGAUUUACUGGGCGUAAAGCGUGCGUAGGCGGCUUUUUAAGUCGGAUGUGAAAUCCCUGAGCUUAACUUAGGAAUUGCAUUCGAUACUGGGAAGCUAGAGUAUGGGAGAGGAUGGUAGAAUUCCAGGUGUAGCGGUGAAAUGCGUAGAGAUCUGGAGGAAUACCGAUGGCGAAGGCAGCCAUCUGGCCUAAUACUGACGCUGAGGUACGAAAGCAUGGGGAGCAAACAGGAUUAGAUACCCCUGUAGUCCCUGUCUCUUAUACA
RNAcentral lists this ribosomal RNA (303 nucleotides) under uncultured bacterium. RNAcentral's name for it is "partial 16S ribosomal RNA". It matches the Rfam family "Bacterial small subunit ribosomal RNA", at positions 510 to 808 of the family's 1533-position model. The record is from RNAcentral.